GCUUCUCUGGUGAAAGCGGAAUCACUCGGGCGUGCGGAGCCCGCGUUCCAGGUUCGAGCCCUGGGGGGAGCGCCA
This 75-nucleotide transfer RNA is filed under the name Sandaracinus sp. RNAcentral describes it as "tRNA-Arg". The record is from RNAcentral. Lineage: Bacteria; Pseudomonadati; Myxococcota; Polyangiales; Sandaracinaceae.